RNAcentral lists this unclassified non-coding RNA (390 nucleotides) under soil metagenome. Its description in RNAcentral is "partial contains 5.8S ribosomal RNA, internal transcribed spacer 2, and large subunit ribosomal RNA". The stretch from base 1 to 122 matches the Rfam family "5.8S ribosomal RNA", at positions 35 to 154 of the family's 154-position model. The record is from RNAcentral.
GAUGAAGAACGUAGCGAAAUGCGAUACUUGGUGUGAAUUGCAGAAUCCCGUGAACCAUCGAGUCUUUGAACGCAAGUUGCGCCCGAAGCCAUUAGGCCGAGGGCACGCCUGCCUGGGCGUCACACGUCGUUGCCCCCCCAUCUACUCCUUCGGGAUUGCGGGGGCGGAUGAUGGCCUCCCGUGCGCCUCGUCGCGCGGUUGGCAUAAAUACCAAGUCCUCGGCGACGCACGCCACGACAAUCGGUGGUUGCGAAACCUCGGUUGCCCGUCGUGUGCGGUCGUCGCGCAUCGAGGGCUCGAAAAAAUUGCCGGGCUCCGGCUCGGCUUUCAACGCGACCCCAGGUCAGGCGGGGUUACCCGCUGAAUUUAAGCAUAUCAAUAAGCGGAGGA